RNAcentral lists this ribosomal RNA (468 nucleotides) under uncultured bacterium. RNAcentral's name for it is "partial 16S ribosomal RNA". It matches the Rfam family "Bacterial small subunit ribosomal RNA", at positions 28 to 507 of the family's 1533-position model. The record is from RNAcentral.
GACGAACGCUGGCGGCGUGCUUAACACAUGCGAGUCGAACGGAAAGGCCCUGCUUUUGUGGGGUGCUCGAGUGGCGAACGGGUGAGUAACACGUGAGUAACCUGCCCUUGACUUUGGGAUAACUUCAGGAAACUGGGGCUAAUACCGGAUAGGAGCUCCUGCUGCAUGGUGGGGGUUGGAAAGUUUCGGCGGUUGGGGAUGGACUCGCGGCUUAUCGGCUUGUUGGUGGGGUAGUGGCUUACCAAGGCUUUGACGGGUAGCCGGCCUGGGAGGGUGACCGGCCACAAUGGGACUGAGAGAGGGACCAGACGCCUACGGGAGGCAGCAGUGGGGAAUAUUGCACAAUGGGCGGAAGCCUGAUGCAGCAACGCCGCGUGCGGGAUGACGGCCUUCGGGUGAUAAACCGCUUUCGCCGGUGACGAAGCGUGAGUGACGGUAAUGGGUAAAGAAGCACCGGCUAACUACGUG